Molecule: ribosomal RNA, 475 nt
Filed under: uncultured bacterium
Lineage: Bacteria
Description: bacterial SSU rRNA
Rfam family: Bacterial small subunit ribosomal RNA
Source: RNAcentral
AGAGUUUGAUCAUGGCUCAGAUUGAACGCUGGCGGCAGCUUUAAUACAUGCAAGUCGAGCGAGAAAGUUUCUUCGGAAAUGAGUAAAGCGGCGAACGGGUGAGUAACGCGUAGGAAUCUACCAUUCAGCGGGGGAUAGCUCGAGGAAACUCGAAUUAAUACCGCAUACACCCUACGGGGGAAAGAAGGCCUCUCCUUGGAAGCUUUCACUGUUUGAUGAGCCUGCGUGAGAUUAGUUUGUUGGUGAGGUAAUGGCUCACCAAGACUACGAUCUCUAGCUGGUCUGAGAGGACGAUCAGCCACACUGGGACUGAGACACGGCCCAGACUCCUACGGGAGGCAGCAGUAGAGAACAUUGGACAAUGGGGGCAACCCUGAUCCAGGCAUGCCGCGUGUGUGAGGAAGGCCUUAGGGUUGUAAAGCACUUUAGGUAAGGAAGAAAAGUUAAUAGUUAAUACCUGUUGACCGUGACAUUA